CAUUUUCUUAAAUGUAUUGCAGGUACUGCUGUUGUGUCACAUAUGCAUCCAUAGGUGGCAGACAGGAGGGAGGCUAUGUCUGUACUUAAUGUUCUGUCCUCUGAACAUCUGAAUGAUUAGUAGCCUAAAAUU
This is a small nucleolar RNA of Rattus norvegicus (Norway rat), 132 nucleotides long. Ensembl annotates it as small nucleolar RNA SNORA17. The record is from Ensembl. Lineage: Eukaryota; Metazoa; Chordata; Mammalia; Rodentia; Muridae.